UGAAGCAAUGAAGUCCAGUUAACCGUUAUGGAAAGGAGGGCAGGUGACAUCUUCUGAUUAAAAAUACCAAGAUUGUACCUGUCAGCCUGUGAAAGGGCUCCUUUCAACCUCAGCCUUUGAAAAAUAGUGAAGUCAUUGUCAGUUUGCCUUCACACCUAAAAAAAAAGACAAGCUAAUUAAAUGAACGUUAGCAGCUGCUAGUUUGACGUCAGUUAGCUAAGUUAACUUAGUUUUCCGGGACUGCUAACAGCUAAGCUUCCGCGCUUUUUUUCAUGAUAUGGACCACUUCAUCGCAGCGAAAGGAGGAGAAACGCCAUCACAGACAAGUAAUAGGUGGAUGUGUGUUCAUGGAUGCCACUUGGCCUGCCAUUACAUCUGGAUCUCCAUUGGGUGUAGAAGCUGCAGUCCAGUGCAGGUGGUUGAUGGCGGCUGAUCUCCACAGCUUCAGGUCAUUAUAUUCCCUCUCUUUCAAGAUGCAGCAGUGAAGUCCCGUCUCUUCACCUGCCCGAAAAACGCACCCAGGCAUGAACAACUAUCACCUUCCUUCCUUUUCAUGUUAGGAAAACUGUGGACUCGAUGUCCUGACAGGCUGGAAUUUGUGCAACCUGCACAAACACAAUAAUUCACCAUCAUGAAAUUGGUAAAUUGCAAAGAGAAACUAGAGAAAAAUGCUGACUCAUACAGUAACAACUGCUCAAACUAACUACCAUCUACUACUGCGCAGUGCACUGUAGAGGGAUCUGUGAGACUUACUGCCUUAUGUGAUGUAAUAUGACAUGAUGUUGAAAAAAGAAAGGUGUUUGUAGGAGCUUUGCUCAAAACGGCCUCUUUUUCCUCUGAAUUUGUGCCCUUAUGUCUUGUAAAACAUAUUUAAUCCUGCACUAACUUUUAAAAUGGUCAUUUUCAGACAAGGUUAAGUAUGAAUUUGGUAAAAAAUUCAACCUGCAAGUUGCUCUUUAAGCUUUACUGUAUAAUGAGUAAUUAGCUUUGAUGAGUAUCUAACUACAGUAUGUAUAGUAGGGUAUUUGUCUAGCAUAUACAGUAGAAAACAGGGGUGUGUAAGUCAUGUAUUUGAUACAUGCAGUGUAUUUUAAUGUGAACAUAGACUUAAUCUGUGAAGAAAUACUGAGUGAUCUUUGUAUUCCGCCCCUUGUAGGCUUCAUUUUCAAGUAUAGACUUUGCAAGAAGAUAGAUAACAGACGUGUUUGUAAGUCAUGUGUCAUGUAAAAGUAAAUCUGUAAUUAGAUGUGGUUUCUUAUAUUCCCCAACCAUGCAGCAGUAUUGCAAAUAUGUGACAUUUGUUCAUAAAAUGAUGGUAUUAGAAAUUAUAUCUCAUCUUUUAGAGUAUUUGUCUAACUUGGCUUCCUCACAAUUUUUUCUUGCACCACACGGUUUCCAAAAAUAGUAACUGGCUCCAGUAAAAUAACAGCUGCACCCAGUCUGGCCCUUGUGGUUUAAAUGGGCCAGAGCCACUGCUUUUUG
Molecule: long non-coding RNA, 1482 nt
Organism: Thunnus maccoyii (southern bluefin tuna)
Lineage: Eukaryota; Metazoa; Chordata; Actinopteri; Scombriformes; Scombridae
Exons: 3
Source: RefSeq, a predicted model, not a curated record